Molecule: ribosomal RNA, 211 nt
Filed under: Segatella copri
Lineage: Bacteria; Pseudomonadati; Bacteroidota; Bacteroidia; Bacteroidales; Prevotellaceae
Description: partial 23S ribosomal RNA
Rfam family: Bacterial large subunit ribosomal RNA
Source: RNAcentral
CAGACCUCCGGUUUACCAGUUGUGCCGCCAGGCGCACCGCUGGGUAUCUGAGUCUGGAUUGGAUAAGCGCUGAAAGCAUCUAAGUGCGAAGCCAGCCGCAAGAUGAGAACUCCAUUGAGGGUCGUCAGAGACGAUGACGUUGAUAGGAUGCAGGUGUAAAGACAGCGAUGUCAAAGCCGAGCAUUACUAAUUGCCCGAACACUUUCUUUAG